RNAcentral lists this long non-coding RNA (1092 nucleotides) under Apteryx haastii (Great spotted kiwi). RNAcentral's name for it is "lncRNA (ENSAHAG00000011918.1)". The record is from RNAcentral. Lineage: Eukaryota; Metazoa; Chordata; Aves; Apterygiformes; Apterygidae.
AUGGUGGUGCGAUGCAGAAUGGAGACACAGGAGUGGAAUAUUUCCACGUGGUAUAACAAURUGCACAAUGUACACAAUUUUCCUGCCUUGCCACUGCAGCCACAAGAACUUGACUUAUUGGGAAUUACACAGGCUGCAGUCUGCUUUUAUCUAAAUUAUACUGCAAGGGCACCUACCAAAGAGGGUGACAUUGAUGUAUCUCCCUCAGGCAUUUAUGCCAAUACAYCUGUAUGGUGUAAUCACACCACCUCAGGUCAAAUAACACCUGGACCACAACCCAUAGGGUUGGCUGCUAAGAUAUUCUUAAUUUGUGGUCAGAGAGCCUGUAAAGGCAUACCAGGUAAAACUGUGGGGGGACCAUGUAUCUUUGGACUUUUGACGAUGUUUCAUCCCCAAAAAUUCUUAGUUAAUGGAACUGUCCACACUCGAACAAAGCAGUCCACCCAYGGCUUUACGUUAGGUUGCGAUAGCAAUGUAGAGUUUUGGAAUCCAGCAGAACGUAUCUUGAGUAGUAUUUUUGCAGGAAUAGGGACUGCUCAUGCUUUAUCACAACUUAACAGAUUAGGAUGCUGGCUUGCAAAAGAAGCAAAUGCUACUAGUACUGCUUUAAGCGCCUUAUUAACAGACGUAGAUUCGAUUAGAUACGCGACCUUACAAAAUCGGGCUGCAAUUGACUUUUUGCCAUUGGUCCAAGGCCAUGGCCGUCAAGACUUUGAAGGAAUGUGUUGUAUGAACCUGAGUGAUCAUUCUGAGUCAGUACAUACAAGCAUUACAAAAUUGAAGGAGUUAACAAAACRRCUGCAAGAAGAYGAUGGUGAAAACUUGUGGGGACUGUUUGAUUGGUUGAAUAUGCUUGCUAUAGGGCCUUGGUUAAAACGCAUACUGAUUCUAGGACUUAUUGUAAUUUUUAUGUUUGUUGCAAUACUAAUCUGUGUAUCAUGCUUGUUGAGCUGCGUGCGAAGAAUGAUUGACCGGACUAUGAAGCAAGUCAUGACCCUGCAGAUCCAUACAGCCUUAGCCCUUCAAUUAGUAAAAGAAGGGGGAGAUGUAGAGGGCCAUGGCAGGGUUAAACUGGUGGAAAGUUGCAAGUAG